GGCAGCUGGGCACAGUGCCUGGCACCCAUGCUUCAUCUGGGUCCGAAUCCCUUCACUUUAGUUCUUAGCAUGCAGAAGAAUGGCUGGAGGGAAGCAGCCCGGGGGCUGAAGGCUUCCAGAACUCCUGUGCUAACAAACCCUCAAUGGAACCUGCCCGGGCCAGGGCCUGUGCUCGGGGGUUCGGGAUGCUCGGGGGUUCAGGACGCUCGGGGGUUCAGGACGCUCCUUUAAUCCUCACAACUGCUCUGUGAAGUUGUCACUCGAGGUUCUGAGGUGAGGAAACCAGCACGGAGCAAACACACCGCUUCCCAAGGUCACGUCGCUUCCCAAGGUCACGUCGCUUCCCAAGGAUACGUUGCUCCCAAGGUCACGUUGCUUCCAAGGUCGCGUUGCUCCCAAGGUCGUGUUGCUUCCAAGAGGCAGGAGGGCAGCUCCUAUGACCCGUAACCACCACGAUGUAUGUCUGUGGGCGGUUUCCACAUUUUAUUUCAACGUAGGGUCAUAGUUAAGACGAGGGCUCUGAAGGUGGGCUGCCUGGUUCCAACCUCUGUAACGUAAGAUUAGUAUCUAGAAAACACACACACACACACACACACACACACGUCGUGUCUCAUCGUGUGGUUAUGACAUGGAUUACACAGUGCAUGGAAAGAGCUUGGCACAAACCCCCCCACACGGCAGGUGCUUCGCGGAGGGGGCAGUGACCGUCAUAGCACGAUAAAGGAGGCAGGAGGCAGGCCAGGCCUUGGGAUGCCAGUUCCCAUGACAACAGCCGCCGGCUCCUGCCCGGCUCGGUGCGGGUUCCCCUGUGGCCCUGACCACAGAGGUGAAGGGUGCUGCUUCGGACACGAGGUCUUUGCUACUGUUUUCCAGAAAAUCCACCAACACUGGUGUCUCCAGGCCAAAGGGGGUGGGGACGUGGGCUGAGGUUCUUUGAGGGAAUGGGAAGAAGAUCACCCAACAACGGCUCUGCCUCCUGUUGAGAAAGCAACUGUGGCUUCUGCUUUGUGGCCAGGCAGUGUUUCAGGCUGAAGGAAGUCAGAAGCAAUGGUGGUUCCGCGCUCUGCUCCAGGGAGGCUGCUCACAGCCUCCGCCCUCCCUGCUCCUCCCUGACCUCCCCGGCGGCAGAGUCCCAGGCUCUGCCUCUCCACGUGGGCCUCUGCCUCACCUCUUCUCACCGUUCCAGGCUUGUGUCCUCCCUUCCCCCUGCUCCUCCUCCUCCUGUCUUUCCUUCUCAUCACACACUCUUCUGCUCUCCCUCGAUUGCUCUCUCCCUCCUUCUCUCCCUCCCACUUUUCCUGAACCACAGCUUCCAGGAACAGAGUCAACUGUCUGACCGCUUUCAUGUAGUAGCUGCGGUUCUGGAAGGCCCUGGUCCGGGUGUGGAAGCCCAGGGAACUGUCUGCCAGGCUGGAGGCAGGGCCUGCACAGGGCACCCUUGUCUGCCUCUCCCUGGGGCUUCCACCUCCCACCCGGGCACCCACGUUCCCAGCGGCUUUCUGCUCGGGGAAGUUCUGCUGCUGAAACCGGGGAUUCCCAAAGUGGAAGGGGCCCUGCUGAAGAGCCAGCCACCUCCUCUACUUCUCAGUGAGAAGAAACCAAGGCGGUGGGGGACGCAAGGCGGGGCUUCCCCGGGAUCACACAGCCAAGCAGAGGCCAGGCCAGGGGUCCCUGAUCUGCCACCUGAGUCCUGGGCCCUUCCUGCCGCCCCACAGAGAGGAGACGGCUGGGUCAGAGGCCUGGCCUGUCAACAGGAAGGGCACGUCCCUCCUCCUAAAGGCCCAGCGAUCAGGCUGCAGUGUAGCAAUGAGGACACUGAGGACACAGGCUCCACGGAGGGGAGGAAGCGGCUGCCUGCCGCCUGCCCGGCUGUCAGACUCUGAUCUCAAAUUGGAAUUACGCCUCUCAUCUCCGCCCUACUUCGAAUCUGAGAGGCCUCCUCCGCCCUUCAGCUGCAGCCUCGUGACCAGGAACAGAGCGGGCCCUGUGUCCCGGAGGCCUUCAUCAGGGAGGGGGAAGCCAUCCAGGUGGGGGGGGCCUGUAUUGAUUACCCGUGCCCCCGCCCCUACGCCCCAAAGCCAGACACUGUGCUUGUGAGUUGUUACUUAGGUGAUUUUCAUUCCCUACCACAUCCCUGGAUGCUCGCCUCUGUGGCAGGGGGAGGAGGUGAGGCUCAGCGAGAAGGAGGUGAUGCUCGCCUCUGUGGCAGGUGGAGGAGGUGAGGCUCAGCGAGAAGGAGGUGAUGCUCGCCUCUGUGGCAGGGGGAGGAGGUGAGGCUCAGCGAGGAGAAGGAGGUGAUGCUCGCCUCUGUGGCAGGCGGAGGAGGUGAGGCUCAGCGAGGAGAAGGAGGUGAUGCUCACCUCUGUAGCAGGUGGAGGAGGGAGGCUCAGCGAGGAGAAGGACAUGGGGACUGCUGCGGGAUGGGAACCAGCUCUCUCUGCAUCGGAGUUGGAAGCAGCCGGACGGAGCUCAUCGUCUCUCCCGAGGACCGAGGGGAUUUCCAGCUGCUGAGCUAGUUGCCAGUGACCUGCUUUUUUCUUUCACAGCUUCCCUAUUUUGUCAGCAAAUUCUGUCUUUUUUUCUCCCAGCCUGGUCCCAACUGGGCGAUGCGUCCCCUCUUUUCUCUUCUUUAAAUUCCGGAACAGGAGAGUGCAGGAAAUUCUGUCCGUUCUCCCAUCUGGUCUCAGAUUUUCAGACAGGUAUUCAAGAUAUUAAAUAAAAAGUCGGCUGGGUGCAAUGGCUCACACCUGUAAUCUCAGCAGUUUGGGAGACCAAGGCGGGCAGACCGUUUAAGGCCAGGAGCUCGAGACCAGCGUGGUCAACAUGGUGAAACCCCAUCUCUGCUAAAAUUACAAAAAUUAGCCGGGCGUGGUGGCAGGUGCUUGUAGUCCCAGCUAGUGGAGAGGCUGAGGCAGGAGAAUCACUUGAACCCAGGAGGUGGAGCUUGCAGUGAGCCAAGAUCGUGCCGCUGCACUCCAGCCUGGUGACAGAGCAAGACUCUGAAAAAAAAAAAAAAAAAGGAAUUUCUUACCAAAUGCUCUUGCUUUUCUAUUUUGAUCAUUGGUGUUGUAAUAAUCUUUGUCAGAUGUUCAUUACACUUGUUCAGAAAUCCUGGUGUGUUACGGGUUAACUGGCCCUUGAUGGACAAGCCCCAACAGCUAAAUAAAAUAACACUGUUGCAGUGGGAAAAUGUGUUUUGAUCAUAUCUUGGAAUAUAACUUAGUUGGAAGUUGGGGCUACCGUAAUUUAUUUAUUUAUUUUAUUUUUUUGAGACAGAGUCUCCCUUUGUUGCCCAGGCUGGAGUGCAGCGGCACGAUCUCAGCUCACUGCAACCUCCGCUUCCCGGGUUCAAGUGAUUCUCCUGCCUCAGCCUCCUGAGAAGCUGAAAUUACAGGCACCCGCCUCCACAUCCGGCUAAUUUCUUGUAUUUUAGUAGAGACGGGGUUUCACUAUGUUGGCCAGGCUGGACUCGAUCUCCUGACCUCAGGUGACCCGUCUGCCUCGGCCUCCCACAGUGCUGGGAUUACAGGUGUGAGCCGCCACACCUGGCCUUAAUUCUUAACAAAUUCAAAUCAGCUACAUCUUGGGUCAAGUUCUUCACCUUGUUCACCUGGCCGGUGGUCCGCAGCUCACAGGGUGUCCCAGGGAUGAAGUGGGGUAAGGUAUGGGCUGCGGCAGUGCACGAGAGGUGCUCCUGAACCCCCUCGCUGGCGCCCACCCUGUUCUGUGCUGGGCACUCGUGUCGCACUCUGGAAACCCCGGUCUCCUCAUCUGUGAACCGGGGUGACUGUCCUGGAGUUGCCCCGCCUGCCUCCUAGGACGGCUGGGAGAUGCCGAGCAGGGAGCGGGAAGGGCUUUCUAUGCUGGAGACACGGUGUACAGUGUAUGAAACGCAGGCCCCUGGCUCCCCUGGAUGCUGAAGACACGGCGUACAGUGUAUUAAACGCAGGCCCCCGGCUCCUCUGGAUGCUGGAGACACGGAGUACAGUGUAUUAAACGCAGGCCCCCCCACCCCGGCUCCUCUGGAUUCAUCUGUUUUUGAAGAGAGACAUCUCCAGACCCCACGUCCUGGAAUCUUUGUAGAGGGUCAGCUCUGAGCUCCCGGAGCCAGGCCCUGCCUGCUCACCCAGCUCUAGAGGCUACAGCUGCAGCAAGAAACAAAUCUGCCCUCACCUCCUUCACCUGGAGCCAGCCUCCCCAGCACUCUGGUCUCAGGCGCUGGCGGGCAGGAGGUGAGUGCUGUGACGGUGGCGUGAAGGUGGGACUCCUGGGUGAGCUGAUGCUGCUUUGCCUUGGGCCCUCGGGUUCCUUGACCCUGGUGUCCCUCCUUCUGUCUCCUGGACUGUGGGGGUGGAGGGCCCUGAUCCUGGCUUCCCGGGUGGCUGGUGACUCCCCUAGGAUGGACGUUUCCCAUGGCCUGCAGUCACCGCGCACCUGCCUUGGACAGGAGCAGGUGUAGGGCUGCCCCUCCGCUGUGCAGGGUCUGCAGUGCAUAGUAGCCUCUGACCACGGCCUGGCAGCCCCCCACAACCCCCGCCCAGAGAACUUUCUGUUUUAACAGUUAAGCAUUUAUUUAAUGAGUGUUAGGAAAAGAUAGAGCUAACGCAAAAGAGGCCUGGACAAGAAUGGAAGGAUUUGGAGACAGUUUGUUUAUUUAUUUAUUUAUUUUAUGAUGAUGAUGAUUUAGAGACGAAGGGCUUGCUCCCAGGAUGGAAUGUGAAGGAGAGACUGUGGCUCACUGCAGCCUUGACCUCCCAGGCUCAAGCCAUCCUCCUGUCUCAGCCUCCAGAGCAACUGGGACUACAGGUGCACCACCAUGCCCAGCUGAUUUGUUUAAUCUUAAUUUUUUAUAGAGAGGGGGGUUUCGUCAUGUUGCCCAGACAGGUCUUGAACUCCUGGCCUCAAGCAAUCCUUCCACGUCGGCCCCCCAACGUGCCGGGAUGACAGGCGUGAGCCUCCAGCGUGCCGGGUGACAGCCGGG
Molecule: long non-coding RNA, 4981 nt
Filed under: Macaca fascicularis (crab-eating macaque)
Lineage: Eukaryota; Metazoa; Chordata; Mammalia; Primates; Cercopithecidae
Description: lncRNA (ENSMFAG00000053725.1)
Source: RNAcentral